This 303-nucleotide ribosomal RNA is filed under the name uncultured bacterium. RNAcentral's name for it is "partial 16S ribosomal RNA". It matches the Rfam family "Bacterial small subunit ribosomal RNA", at positions 507 to 807 of the family's 1533-position model. The record is from RNAcentral.
AGCAGUAGCCGCGGUAAUACGAAGGGCGCAAGCGUUAAUCGGAAUUACUGGGCGUAAAGCGUGCGUAGGUGGUGGUUUAAGUCCGUUGUGAAAGCCCUGGGCUCAACCUGGGAAUUGCAGUGGAUACUGGGUCACUAGAGUGUGGUAGAGGAUAGUGGAAUUUCCGGUGUAGCAGUGAAAUGCGUAGAGAUCGGAAGGAACAUCUGUGGCGAAGGCGACUAUCUGGGCCAACACUGACACUGAGGCACGGAAGCGUGGGGAGCAAACAGGAUUAGAUACCCCAGUAGUCCCUGUCUCUUAUAC